GCCAAACAGAAACAGCUCCAGUCUGCAGCUCCCAGUAAGAUCGACACAGAAGGUGGUUGAUUUCUGCAUUUCCAACUAAGAUAAGAAAAUGCUGUGAGAUUUUGUGACAACCCGGCCUGCCUCACAAGAGCUCCUGAAACGGAGUUUUGCUCUUGUUACCCACUCUGGAGUGCAAUGGCACGAUCUCAGCUCACCACAACCUCCACCUCCUGCAUUCAGCUAAUUCUCCUGCCUCAGCCUCCUGAGUAGCUGGGACUACAGGCACGUGCCACCAGGCCCAGCUAAUUUUUUGUAUUUUUAGUAGAGACGGGGUUUCACCAUGUUGACCAGGAUGGUCUCGAUCUCUUGACCUCGUGAUCCACCCGCCUCGGCCUCCCAAAGUGCUGGGAUUACAGGCUUGAGCCACCGCGCCUGGCCCAACAGUCUUUUCUUUAAAAGAUAUUUCUAUGUGGGUUGGCAGCAUCAGAAAGGGGUUAGCUCAAGUGCCUGGGAUUGGGAGUUGGGGACACGAUGAACAGAGAGGUAUGGAGAAGGCCACAGCAGCUAACCCACGGUACAUGCAAGUCAGGUCAAGAGGAGCAGGCACUGUGGGGUAGACCAGACCAGCUGAACCUGGCCAAACAGAGAGUGUUGCAUCCACAGGUCUCUCAACUUACUCAAUAAAUCAGAGAAGGGAAUAUGGAAGCUGAGUCAUUAAUGGUCCAGUCCCAGGCAUAGGUCAGCUUCUAGGACACGG
Long non-coding RNA from Callithrix jacchus (white-tufted-ear marmoset), 736 nucleotides. RefSeq lists it as uncharacterized. The record is from RefSeq and is a predicted model, not a curated record. Lineage: Eukaryota; Metazoa; Chordata; Mammalia; Primates; Cebidae.